ACAUAUACAACCCAUUAUUCAACAAACAGGACACAAUUAUCCAAAAUAUCAUAAUUGAAAAAAUACAAUGAUGUAGAUUUAUGAAUAGCUGCUCAUAUGGCAUAUCCCAGUCUUAAACUACAAGUAUAUAGAUGGCGCCAAAGUGUACAAUUGUUCAAGGAACAGGACAAAAAUUAUCCAAAUUGUUAUGAGUCAAACUACAAGUAUAUAGAGAUACGCGUAGCUGCUCAAUAUGGCAUAUCACAGUCUCAAAACUCCCCAGAAGGAUAAAGGACUCAAAGUUGAUUAAAACCACAUCAUCUUCUACCCAUCCAUGCCCUCGAAUCUCCGGCAUCUCGUCUUGUUUCAUGCAGUAUGCUCAAUAUACCUAAAAGCCUCUGCAUUUCGGCAGGAGGAUGGUAUCCAGAGCGCUGCAAAUAAAGAGCAAUAGCCAGGGUUACUUAAUAAACUUUCAACAUAUACAAUGACCACAAUACAGCAAAAAUGCAAUUUACUCUGCUCUCAAGACAAGACAGUAAAAAUGCAAUUUACUCUGCUCUCAAGACAAUACAGCAAAAAUGCAAUUUACUCUGCUCUCAACAGGACAAACAAUAUAUGGUGAUACAAAGAAGGCAUAAUAAUUGCAGUACCGCUAACAAGUGUUUUCCGAAAGCACAAGAUGAAGAAACUCUUCUUCCAGAGAUCCAAUCGGUGACAGAACUUCCCAGGAGGAAUUCAAUGGCUGGCUGUCAUUCAUCUGUCCAAACAAGUUAGUAACUGAGAGAGAAUAUGUGGGCAUGCAACAGG
RNAcentral lists this long non-coding RNA (786 nucleotides) under Triticum aestivum (bread wheat). Its description in RNAcentral is "long non-coding RNA (TAES_LNC009996)". Lineage: Eukaryota; Viridiplantae; Streptophyta; Magnoliopsida; Poales; Poaceae. The record is from RNAcentral.